Molecule: long non-coding RNA, 357 nt
Filed under: Rattus norvegicus (Norway rat)
Lineage: Eukaryota; Metazoa; Chordata; Mammalia; Rodentia; Muridae
Description: long non-coding RNA NONRATT025472
Source: RNAcentral
UCGGCAGAACCGCUCAGCCCCGGGUGUAUGUGCUGAGAGCCUCGUGUGUGUGUGCGCGUGUGUGUGUGUGUGUGUGUGUGUGUGUGUGUGUGAGAGAGAGAGAGAGAGAGAGAGAGAGAGAGAGAGAGAGAGGAGAAGAGAGGGAGAGAGAGAGGAGAGAGAGGAGAGAGAGAAAGGGAGGGAGGCGUGGAUGUGCUUGGGGAGGGGGCAGGAGAAAACGAGUGUGUGUGUGGGGGGGAUGCUAGGCUACAGCAUCCCUUUUUCAAGACAGUGGAGGGGUGGGAGUGGGGGUGCAUAGGGAGGGAAGGCAGAUGUGUUUGCCCUCCUGCCCAGAAGACAAAGAAGAACUGCACAAAC